AAAACGACUCUCGGCAACGGAUAUCUCGGCUCUCGCAUCGAUGAAGAACGUAGCGAAAUGCGAUACUUGGUGUGAAUUGCAGAAUCCCGUGAACCAUCGAGUCUUUGAACGCAAGUUGCGCCCGAAGCCUUUCGGCCGAGGGCACGCCUGCCUGGGUGUCAUGC
Molecule: ribosomal RNA, 164 nt
Filed under: Turnera cearensis
Lineage: Eukaryota; Viridiplantae; Streptophyta; Magnoliopsida; Malpighiales; Passifloraceae
Also listed under: 6 other names
Description: 5.8S ribosomal RNA
Rfam family: 5.8S ribosomal RNA
About the family: 5.8S ribosomal RNA (5.8S rRNA) is a component of the large subunit of the eukaryotic ribosome.
Source: RNAcentral